RNAcentral lists this small nucleolar RNA (107 nucleotides) under Nicotiana sylvestris (wood tobacco). RNAcentral describes it as "Plant small nucleolar RNA R71". It matches the Rfam family "Plant small nucleolar RNA R71". From Rfam's summary of the family: R71 is a member of the C/D box family of snoRNAs containing the C (UGAUGA) and D (CUGA) box motifs. Multiple nearly identical copies of this snoRNA have been identified in Arabidopsis, and it is thought to function as a 2'-O-ribose methylation guide for 18S ribosomal RNA. RNAcentral also lists the same sequence under 1 other name. Lineage: Eukaryota; Viridiplantae; Streptophyta; Magnoliopsida; Solanales; Solanaceae. The record is from Rfam by way of RNAcentral.
AUGCUAUGAUGUGGACACCUAACCAACAUGCCCUUGAAUCUCUCCCACAUUUCUUGUAAUGUUUCUACUGGUUUAUGUCUGAAGCUCAAAAUCUCAUCAAUUUGUUG